GCCGCGGUGGCGCAGUGGUAACUCUCCCGCCUGCUGCGUCGGCGACCCCGGUUCAAAUCCCGCCAUCAGUG
Molecule: non-coding RNA, 71 nt
Organism: Gymnothorax javanicus (giant moray)
Lineage: Eukaryota; Metazoa; Chordata; Actinopteri; Anguilliformes; Muraenidae
Source: the annotation of a GenBank genome assembly